This 2247-nucleotide ribosomal RNA is filed under the name Triticum aestivum (bread wheat). Its description in RNAcentral is "partial small subunit ribosomal RNA". Lineage: Eukaryota; Viridiplantae; Streptophyta; Magnoliopsida; Poales; Poaceae. The record is from RNAcentral.
AUGGGGGCCUGCAUUCCGGUGGCAGUUGGAGGGGGUCGCGGCCACAAGGACACCCACGACGACUACUACGGCACCUCGAGGCCACGGGCUGCGGCCCCCACUGCGGAUCUGCGCGCAGAGAUGUAUGACACCGGGAGUAUCGAGGGGCCAUCUGGAUCUUUCACUGUGAACAAUGUCCAAGUGUUUGCUGGCUAUGUCCUGCAUACCGGUUCAUUUCUGGAAGGGCCUGACUCCAAGACAUUGUCUGUUGGCGAUGAAGUGAAAUACAAGGAAGUAAUUGGUGACUGUAUUGACCAGAAAGGUUCCAUUGCUCUUUCAGAGAAGCUGAGAUUUGAUUUCUCCCAUGGGAAACCUGUCCAACCAGAAGAUUUGCGAAAAAUUGAGUCUAUAGUGAAGCAGCGAAUAGAGGCUGAGCUGGAGUUAUCUGCACAAGAAAUAAAAUUAGCCAACCCAAAGCGCGUGAAUGGUCUUCGAGCUGUGUUUGGUGAAAUCUACGCUGAUCCUGUAAGAGUUGUAUCGAUUGGUCGCAAACUGGAAGAUGUGCUUGCCAACCCUGAAAGCAAAGAAUGGUUAUCUGAUAUCAAUGAAGCAACUAAACUGGACGGAGCGACAUUGGAAAAGAAAAUUGGAUCGAUCAAUAAUACACUGGAUGCAGCUGCUAUCCCAGCUGCAAGAAAAGCUGAUCUAAAAGGCAAUGUCUCAAAGUUGGAGGAUCAACUAAGGGAGGCGGAGAAGAAAACGGGCAAAGAAAAUGUCCAAAAGGCUGCCAAGACUGACAUAGAUGCUGCAGAAGCUGCUGUUUCUAAAGAAAAACUCUUCUGUGUUACUCAUGCUGAUGUGGGUCUUGAUACCACUGCUGCCCGGGAAGCAGUUGUCAAACCCAUGGACCGUUUCAAGAGCAUUGAUGCACUUCUAUAUGUGCACUAUCUCUUGACAUUACGUGGGUUUCUCAUUUCAAUAGUUAGGGAUGCAGACAAGAAACAACUUGGUACAAUCGGUGAGGAGGUGAAGCAGUUGGCUCAAAGAGCAAGGGAUAACAGAGAAGCAAACAACAGCUCUUCUACUAUUGCAAGCAUUAAAAAAUCCGCUAAUAACACUGUUCAGAUACUUGUGAAAUUUUGUGGAGCAACUAUUCCUGUUCAGGAGAACCUUGACAUAUUAAGUGCAAAUAUGCUAAUCGAGCAUGUUUGCCGGUGUGCGGGAGUUAGUCUCACUGAUCUCUAUUCGACCUUCUGUGGAAGAAUUCUGGAGCCGAAUAAAGUUUUGUCAUAUUAUCAACUCCAGAAGGAUUCUAUGGUUUAUAUUAAUCCUAGACUACGAGGUGGCAGUGCUGGUCGCAAAAACUGGGAUGAUGUAAUCAUUACUCUGAAUCUCUACCACGGUGUGGCUUUGCCAUGGGACCUACUUCUCCCCUAUCAGAGCAAGAUACGUCCAGCAAUGAAAGUGUGGUACCUGGAUCAUCCACUACAGGUUCGGUGUCAAAAGGUGCUUAUAUACCUUGGCAGAAAACAUUACGUUGGAAUUUGUUUCGGAGGCUUCACUUCCAAGCAAAUUCUCUUCGAUGCCGAUGGUAAUGUGCAUAUUGAUGCUGCUCCUCAAGAGUAUAGUCAAGGACUUGCCUUAUUUGAUUAUGGUGCAGUUUCUGGAAUAUUUGACGAUGCCUUAGGAGCUGGAAUUAACAAAUAUCCAACCUAUUUCUAUAAUCUUAUCAAUUUCCUAUCAAAUGGUCCUGCUGUUGAUUAUCGAAGUAAGGCUGUGAUUGCUUUUGUCACGAAUCACGUCUCGCUGUUAACAUAUUCUCGAAGAAUUCAGAUCACUGCAGUUCUCGAUAUGUUGCUUACAAGGCUCAGUGAAGAUGAUUCAGAGGCCUUGAUAGCUAUACUUGAAAAUUUCUAUUGGGGGAGCAGGUUGGAGAAGGUUCCUGCAAUGCACCACACGUAUUUCUUUCACUGGUGGUAUGAUAGAGCUGGGACCAUAUGUACCCCUUAUAAGGAUAAUGGAGUCAGCUUGCUCAAAUUCUCUAGCAAUUUUUUUAAGCAUCACAAUGGCUUCCCUCUAGAACAGCGGGAUGCAGCGUUUGCGUUGGCGACGAAGCAUAAAAACUAUCUACCUCAGCUACUGUUUUCCAUUCUUAUAACAUUCAAAGACCCAAAUAAGCCAUGCCCUCCAUCUGUUCAGGCUUUUAUUGAUGAAGUGAUCGAAAUGCUAGGGGAUCACACGGUCGAUUGCGAGAUUGCCCAAACUUGA